This is a long non-coding RNA of Eriocheir sinensis (Chinese mitten crab), 841 nucleotides long. RefSeq lists it as uncharacterized. The record is from RefSeq and is a predicted model, not a curated record. The transcript is spliced from 3 exons. NCBI's taxonomy places the organism in Eukaryota, Metazoa, Arthropoda, Malacostraca, Decapoda, Varunidae.
GGGAGGUUCAAGAUUGAGGGAGUUCUCGGCAGCUGAGGUUCAAGAGUAGGUCAGAGUGGAGCGGAUAAUUAAAUGCAAGACUAUUUAUUUUUCUCGUUGCUUUAAGUAUUCGAAUAUAGGUGUGGCUUGACAUUCUAUAAAUCAACUUUUCAUUAAUUAUAUCUUCUGUUACGAACACUUAUAAGACUUAUCCUUGUUGGUGAACCUAGAUAUCUUCCUUAUGUUUCCAGUUUCCAGUUAGCAUAUAUAUAGUAACGUAUGCAACAUGUCCUAAUCAGUGCAGUUUCCAGUUAGCGACAUUCGUACUUAAGUUCUCUGUACUCUUUCUCUUCCAAUGUUGCUCUUUUUUGCACCGUUUCUGGGUCAUCUUAUAAACUUUUAUGUAAGGGCUCCAUUUAGGUAGACUUGUGUGGUAGUGUUUCCUUGUUCUUCCUGUUCAGCGUUUGUGUUUCUUGGUGUUGUGGUGUUUCCUUGUUCUUCCUGUUCAGCGUUUGUGUUCCUUGGUGUUGUAGAGAAUGAGGUGAUUGAGUUCAGGUUAAAGUCCGUCUAUGUAUGUAAGGGCUCCAUUUAGGUAGACUUGUGUGGUAGUGUUUCCUUGUUCUUCCUGUUCAGCGUUUGGUAGUGUUUCCUUGUUCUUCCUGUUCAGCGUUUGUGUUUCUUGGUGUUGUAGAGAAUGAGGUGAUUGGGUUCAGGUUAAAGUCCGUCUAUGUAGGUAAGGGCUCCAUUUAGGUAGACUUGUGUGGUAGUGUUUCCUUGUUCUUCCUGUUCAGCGUUUGUGUUUCUUGGUGUUGUGGUGUUUCCUUGUUCUUCCUGUUCAGCGUUUAUGUGUUCCUUGGUGUUG